CAACAAUUGUUUUUUGGGGGGGUAAAAAAAAAGGAAGAAAGAAAAUGGCUCUAAGGACAUCCCUAAUUUGGAAGCAAUGAAUUCAUUUGUCUUAAAAUUGUCACUUCCUUUCCUUUUUCCUUUCCUUUCCUUUCCUUUCCUUUCCUUUCCUUUCCUUUCCUUUCCUUUCCUUUCCUUUCCUUUCCUUUCCUUUCCUUUCCUUUCCUUUCCUUUCCUUUCCUGACAUAGAGGUUGAAGCCAACUCAUUCCUUUCUUUUUUCCUUUGAAAGGUCGGCCACCCUGUGCUUGCCCACUCUCAUCCACUCCAGCACAAACAGCCUUUGCAUCAAAAAAGCACUAGGUGGUGCCCAUUUUCUUUGCCGGUGAAAGAGCUGGAUUUCCCCCAAGGGAGUCACUACGGGGAAGUUUAUGAGCCCCCAGCCCCAUACCGCGCAGUCCCCUCCUCUGACAGAUGACCAGGAGCCUGGUGUCACGUUCAGUCAUUUCCCGAAAGUAUCCCAGGGCUUGCCAGUUUUAGGACAGAGUUUUAGUUUUGGAAGUCAGUGGUUUUAAAUGUGAAGAGCAGGGGAGGACACAACAUGGGCAUGAAGUACUUGAACGUUACCAGUACUUUGCUACAGGAAGGAAGCCGUCACCCCUGGAUCGCGUGCUACCGUCAGGAAGAUGGGUUAGGGAGUGCCGAGCAUAAAGAAACAGCCAAGAAGAUGCAAAACCAAGAGGUAAAGAUGCCAGCAGCCUGUCAACCAUUGCUGCAGUUACGGACACCUGGAAAAAUUGAGGCUUGUGCUCACCAUCCGAGCAUCUCUGGAAAAUGA
RNAcentral lists this long non-coding RNA (815 nucleotides) under Canis lupus familiaris (dog). RNAcentral describes it as "lncRNA (ENSCAFG00000059203.1)". Lineage: Eukaryota; Metazoa; Chordata; Mammalia; Carnivora; Canidae. The record is from RNAcentral.